RNAcentral lists this ribosomal RNA (1080 nucleotides) under uncultured Bacteroidota bacterium. RNAcentral's name for it is "bacterial SSU rRNA". It matches the Rfam family "Bacterial small subunit ribosomal RNA", at positions 257 to 1332 of the family's 1533-position model. Lineage: Bacteria; Pseudomonadati; Bacteroidota. The record is from RNAcentral.
GAUUCUACGGCUCCUUGUUACGAUCAUUAGGGGUUCUGAGAGGAAGGUCCCCCACACUGGUACUGAGACACGGACCAGACUCCUACGGGAGGCAGCAGUGAGGAAUAUUGGUCAAUGGGCGAGAGCCUGAACCAGCCAAGUCGCGUGCAGGAAGAAUGUCCUAUGGAUUGUAAACUGCUUUUGCAGGGGAAUAAAAUGCGGCACGUGUGCUGUUUUGUAUGUACUCUGCGAAUAAGGAUCGGCUAACUCCGUGCCAGCAGCCGCGGUAAUACGGAGGAUCCGAGCGUUAUCCGGAUUUAUUGGGUUUAAAGGGUGCGUAGGCGGGAUAAUAAGUCAGUGGUGAAAGUUUGCAGCUUAACUGUAAAAUUGCCAUUGAAACUGUUAUUCUUGAGUGUAGAUAAGGUAGGCGGAAUGUGUUGUGUAGCGGUGAAAUGCAUAGAUAUAACACAGAACCCCGAUUGCGAAGGCAGCUUACCGGGCUACCACUGUCGCUGAUGCACGAAAGCGUGGGGAUCAAACAGGAUUAGAUACCCUGGUAGUCCACGCAGUAAACGAUGAAUACUAGCUGUAUGCGAUAUACUGUAUGUGGCAAAGCGAAAGCAUUAAGUAUUCCACCUGGGGAGUACGUUCGCAAGAAUGAAACUCAAAGGAAUUGACGGGGGCCCGCACAAGCGGAGGAACAUGUGGUUUAAUUCGAUGAUACGCGAGGAACCUUACCCGGGCUUGAAAUGCAAUCGACGGUAGUGGAAACAUUACUUCCAGCAAUGGCGAUUGUGUAGGUGCUGCAUGGUUGUCGUCAGCUCGUGCCGUGAGGUGUCGGCUUAAGUGCCAUAACGAGCGCAACCCUUAUCAUUAGUUGCCAUCGGGUUAUGCCGGGAACUCUAAUGAGACUGCCACCGUAAGGUGUGAGGAAAGUUGGGGAAUGACGUCAAAUCAGCACGGCCCUUACGUCCGGGGCGACACACGUGUUACAAUGGGGGGGUACAGCGGGCAGCUACCACGCGAGUGGAUGCUAAUCUCUGAAAGCCUCUCUUAAGUUCGGAAUCGGAAUCUGCAACUCCAACCCCAUGAAGCUGGGAU